CCUACGGGGGGCUGCAGUGGGGAAUAUUGGACAAUGGGGGCAACCCUGAUCCAGCCAUGCCGCGUGUGUGAAGAAGGCCCUCGGGUUGUAAAGCACUUUCAGUGAGGAAGAACGCCUGGUGGUUAAUACCCAUCAGGAAAGACAUCACUCACAGAAGAAGCACCGGCUAACUCCGUGCCAGCAGCCGCGGUAAUACGGAGGGUGCGAGCGUUAAUCGGAAUUACUGGGCGUAAAGCGCGCGUAGGUGGCUUGAUAAGCCGGUUGUGAAAGCCCCGGGCUCAACCUGGGAACGGCAUCCGGAACUGUCAAGCUAGAGUGCAGGAGAGGAAGGUAGAAUUCCCGGUGUAGCGGUGAAAUGCGUAGAGAUCGGGAGGAAUACCAGUGGCGAAGGCGGCCUUCUGGACUGACACUGACACUGAGGUGCGAAAGCGUGGGUAGCAAACAGGAUUGGAUACCCCGGUAGUC
RNAcentral lists this ribosomal RNA (465 nucleotides) under Vreelandella stevensii. RNAcentral describes it as "partial 16S ribosomal RNA". It matches the Rfam family "Bacterial small subunit ribosomal RNA", at positions 338 to 795 of the family's 1533-position model. Lineage: Bacteria; Pseudomonadati; Pseudomonadota; Gammaproteobacteria; Oceanospirillales; Halomonadaceae. The record is from RNAcentral.